UGGCGAAGGAGUUAAACCUAACCCAGAGA
RNAcentral lists this small RNA (29 nucleotides) under Bombyx mori (domestic silkworm). RNAcentral's name for it is "ovarian small RNA-8763". The record is from RNAcentral. Lineage: Eukaryota; Metazoa; Arthropoda; Insecta; Lepidoptera; Bombycidae.